GAUGAACGCUGGCGGCGUGCCUAAUACAUGCGAGUCGAGCGAACGGACGAGAAGCUUGCUUCUCUGAUGUUAGCGGCGGACGGGUGAGUAACACGUGGAUAACCUACCUAUAAGACUGGGAUAACUUCGGGAAACCGGAGCUAAUUCCGGAUAAUAUUUUGAACCGCAUGGUUCAAAAGUGAAAGACGGUCUUGCUGUCACUUAUAGAUGGAUCCGCGCUGCAUUAGCUAGUUGGUAAGGUAACGGCUUACCAAGGCAACGAUGCAUAGCCGACCUGAGAGGGUGAUCGGCCACACUGGAACUGAGACACGGUCCAGACUCCUACGGGAGGCAGCAGUAGGGAAUCUUCCGCAAUGGGCGAAAGCCUGACGGAGCAACGCCGCGUGAGUGAUGAAGGUCUUCGGAUCGUAAAACUCUGUUAUUAGGGAAGAACAUAUGUGUAAGUAACUGUGCACAUCUUGACGGUACCUAAUCAGAAAGCCACGGCUAACUACGUG
Molecule: ribosomal RNA, 497 nt
Filed under: uncultured bacterium
Lineage: Bacteria
Description: partial 16S ribosomal RNA
Rfam family: Bacterial small subunit ribosomal RNA
Source: RNAcentral